RNAcentral lists this non-coding RNA (163 nucleotides) under Butyricimonas synergistica. The record is from RNAcentral. Lineage: Bacteria; Pseudomonadati; Bacteroidota; Bacteroidia; Bacteroidales; Odoribacteraceae.
UUCGGUUCACUCCGGUGACGAACAGGGAAGCAGGUGAAAAUCCCGCACUAUACCCGUAGCUGUAAGCUCUAUUCAACGCUUGAAUCAAUAAUCCACUGUCACGCUGUCGAUGGGAAGGAGAUUCAAAAGCGAGAGUAAGUCAGAAGACCUGCCGAUUGCAAAU